GACGAACGCUGGCGGCGUGCUUAACACAUGCAAGUCGAACGGAAAGGCCCUGCUUUUGUGGGGUGCUCGAGUGGCGAACGGGUGAGUAACACGUGAGUAACCUGCCCUUGACUUUGGGAUAACUUCAGGAAACUGGGGCUAAUACCGGAUAGGAGCUCCUGCUGCAUGGUGGGGGUUGGAAAGUUUCGGCGGUUGGGGAUGGACUCGCGGCUUAUCAGCUUGUUGGUGGGGUAGUGGCUUACCAAGGCUUUGACGGGUAGCCGGCCUGAGAGGGUGACCGGCCACAUUGGGACUGAGAUACGGCCCAGACUCCUACGGGAGGCAGCAGUGGGGAAUAUUGCACAAUGGGCGGAAGCCUGAUGCAGCGACGCCGCGUGCGGGAUGACGGCCUUCGGGUUGUAAACCGCUUUCGCCUGUGACGAAGCGUGAGUGACGGUAAUGGGUAAAGAAGCACCGGCUAACUACGUGCCAGCAGCCGCGGUGAUACGUAGGGUGCGAGCGUUGUCCGGAUUUAUUGGGCGUAAAGGGCUCGUAGGUGGUUGAUCGCGUCGGAAGUGUAAUCUUGGGGCUUAACCCUGAGCGUGCUUUCGAUACGGGUUGACUUGAGGAAGGUAGGGGAGAAUGGAAUUCCUGGUGGAGCGGUGGAAUGCGCAGAUAUCAGGAGGAACACCAGUGGCGAAGGCGGUUCUCUGGGCCUUUCCUGACGCUGAGGAGCGAAAGCGUGGGGAGCGAACAGGCUUAGAUACCCUGGUAGUCCACGCUGUAAACGGUGGGUACUAGGUGUGGGGUCCAUUCCACGGGUUCCGUGCCGUAGCUAACGCUUUAAGUACCCCGCCUGGGGAGUACGGCCGCAAGGCUAAAACUCAAAGGAAUUGACGGGGCCCCGCACAAGCGGCGGAGCAUGCGGAUUAAUUCGAUGCAACGCGUAGAACCUUACCUGGGUUUGACAUGGAUCGGGAGCGCUCAGAGAUGGGUGUGCCUCUUUUGGGGUCGGUUCACAGGUGGUGCAUGGCUGUCGUCAGCUCGUGUCGUGAGAUGUUGGGUUAAGUCCCGCAACGAGCGCAACCCUUGUUCACUGUUGCCAGCACGUUAUGGUGGGGACUCAGUGGAGACCGCCGGGGUCAACUCGGAGGAAGGUGGGGAUGACGUCAAGUCAUCAUGCCCCUUAUGUCCAGGGCUUCACGCAUGCUACAAUGGCUGGUACAGAGAGUGGCGAGCCUGUGAGGGUGAGCGAAUCUCGGAAAGCCGGUCUCAGUUCGGAUUGGGGUCUGCAACUCGACCUCAUGAAGUCGGAGUCGCUAGUAAUCGCAGAUCAGCAACGCUGCGGUGAAUACGUUCCCGGGGCU
RNAcentral lists this ribosomal RNA (1346 nucleotides) under uncultured bacterium. Its description in RNAcentral is "bacterial SSU rRNA". It matches the Rfam family "Bacterial small subunit ribosomal RNA", at positions 28 to 1381 of the family's 1533-position model. The record is from RNAcentral.